GGUUGAUCCUGCCAGUAGUCAUAUGCUUGUCUCAAAGAUUAAGCCAUGCAUGUCUAAGUAUAAACCAAUUUAUACGGUGAAACUGCGAAUGGCUCAUUAUAUCAGUUAUAAUUUAUUUGAUGGUACCUUUACUACAUGGAUAACCGUGGUAAUUCUAGAGCUAAUACAUGCAACAAAUCCCGACUUCUGGAAGGGACGUAUUUAUUAGAUCCAAAACCAACGAGGGCAACCUCUUAAUUGGUGAAUCAUAAUAACUUUUCGAAUCGCAUGGCCUUGAGCCGGCGAUGGAUCAU
Molecule: ribosomal RNA, 293 nt
Filed under: uncultured eukaryote
Lineage: Eukaryota
Description: partial 18S ribosomal RNA
Rfam family: Eukaryotic small subunit ribosomal RNA
Source: RNAcentral